Molecule: long non-coding RNA, 2460 nt
Filed under: Equus asinus (donkey)
Lineage: Eukaryota; Metazoa; Chordata; Mammalia; Perissodactyla; Equidae
Description: lncRNA (ENSEASG00005034551.1)
Source: RNAcentral
GGACUGGCGUUGGCGGGGCCUUCCAGAGACUGCGUAACACGGCUCAGUAACCCACACGCCGGCCAUGGCAGAACCCCCUGAAAACACGUUUCCAGGGCCUGCCCCGACGUGGCCUCUGUCUUCAAACCUCUCCAGUGUGACUCUUCAACUCCCUUCACAGUCGGGUGUUUUUGUGGUCAGGGGUGACUGUGGACUUGCGACUUGCGUGUCUAGUUUCUCAUGAUGAUCCACUGGGCUGGCAGCCUCUGACAGGGAACACUCAGCACCGUGUCAUUUCCCUUUAGGUGACUUGUGGAUCCCUGGCAAGGGUACAGGCAGGCGGAUCAGGGCCAGCGCUCUAAGGACAGCAGCACAGGGCAGAGGUGGAGAGGCGCCCAUCGAGAACGGCUUCUCUUGCCCAGGUCCUGUUGCUCGCCAUGGUAACCAGCCAGAUGUGGAACCCCAGCAGAAGGUGGCGAUGACAUCAUUCUUGGGCUUCUGAUUGACUGCGGCGGUUCUUUCACCAGAGGAUCUGACAGGUGGCCUCACUCACCACCUGCAUCCGGAGGAAAGGAAUUCCACUCCUGUUGAGGGUACUAGACCAGGCCCCAGGACCCACCUGCAGAGGACUCACCCCCAGGCUGGAGUGGAGGCCAUAGACAAUGAGCUGGAUCCCUGCCCUGCAUUUUGCUUCUGGUGUGGCUGUGGUGCUUGGCGGGAGAGGCUGCCUCCUGGCUGAGGCUUGGAUCUGCAAGGCCGGGGCACUGGCUGGGCCUGGCCAAGCGCCCCCACAGCUGCCUGGAAGUAAGGGGUCCUCGGGACAGACACAGAGCCCAGCACACCCCAUCCUGGAACACGGGGGAGACUUCCUCGCAGCCAGAGCAGUGGGAUCAGGGGAGAUGAACCCGGUAGUCUCCGAGGUCCUUCCAGCCCUGAUAUCAGGAGACGAGAAGCUUCGCCGUGUGAACAGCAAACAGCCUGUUGUCUGGGUUCCUCUGGCCUGCUCCGUCACGGGGAGGCUCCCCAUAAGAUGCUGCGUCCUCUGAGACGGAAACCCUCGGAGCCUCGGCCUGUUGAUUUGGAAGUGGUCCCAGGGCCAUGGGGCAACAGGAGAGCACCCCUGGGGCUCCUUGGGCAGGAGACACAGGGAAACUACAGGAGGGAAAAAGGAAAGAUGGAAGCCACACCAAGGAGGAGAGAGAAGCUUUCGAUGAUGAACCAAGAACGUCAUAGAGUUGGAAUCCUACAGUAUGUAGCCUUUUCAGAUCGGCCUUGUUCACUUGGUAAUAUGCAUUGCUGGGAAAGCUGUACGAGGUCUGGAGCGCGGGGCAUCCCGGGAUCAGCUCCCUGCUGCCACAACCCCACUGGUGUUAUUAGUAUCCUCAUCAGAAUGACGUCUUUUCCAGCAGCUUGUUUCUAGCACGUUUCUGAGUUUCUACAGCCCGUCCAGAUCUAGGCCCCUGGUCACAUCCCAGAGCCACCCCCACCACAGACACAAGGCCCCUCAGUGCCAGGCCCCCUUGGUGGAUCUCAAAUGGUUUUGCAUAAGCCCCACCCCACAUAAGGCAGCAGAAGCAGGCUCUUACCCUAUUCGGCAGAUGGGCAGGCUGUGGCUCAGAGAAGCUGAGUGGCUGGCAUAAAAUGGCACAGGAUCUCCUCUACAACCACCUACAACCACCCUCCAUACAGCAAGCCCCUCAGCUUCCCUUUCCACCCAAAGGUCUGGCUCCCACUCUUGGAUGAAGAGAAGGAGCGUCUGAACCCAAAAUUCCUUACAGCACAAUAGACAACUGAAAAACAACUCAACAGAAUUUUAAUUAUUCACAGAAAACGUGUACUGUGUACAAGGUAUUGAUCAAAGAACUUUAUAAAUACUAACUCAUUUUCUCCUUAUAACUACCUUAAUGAAGCAGGUACAAUUAUUAUCCCCAUUUUAUAGGUGAGGAAACUGAGGCAGGGAGAGAGUAACUGGCCCAGGGCCACACAGCUAGGAGGCCAGAGAGCCGGCAGUGGCCCACACUUUUAGACACUGCACUCUGCUACCUGCGGAUUUUUUGUUUGUACCAUUUUCCAGUUAUUAAUUUUUAAACAGUUUUAUUGAGGUAUAAUUUAAUGGUGUAAUUUAACUUAAGAUUUACCCAUUUUAAGUGUACAAUUAAAUGAUUUCAGUUAAUUUAUAGAAUUGUGCAACCAUUAUAACGAACCAAUUUUGGCACAUUUCCAUCAUCCCAGAAAAGAUCCUUUAUGUCCACUUCCUGUCACUGUUUCAACCUCCAGCCUGAGGCAACCACUAAUCUACUUUCUGUCUCUGUAGAUUUGCCUCUUCUGGAAACUUCAUAAUAAUGAAGUCAGAGAAUGUUGGGUCUUUUGAGUCUGUUUUUGAGGUUGUUCGUUGGGGUAGCAUGUGUCAGCACGUCAUUCCUUUUCAUUGCUGACUAAUAGUCUGUCGUGUGGCUAUCCCACAUUUUGUCUAUCCAUUCA